Conger conger (European conger) is the source of this 178-nucleotide long non-coding RNA. RefSeq lists it as uncharacterized. NCBI's taxonomy places the organism in Eukaryota, Metazoa, Chordata, Actinopteri, Anguilliformes, Congridae. The record is from RefSeq and is a predicted model, not a curated record. The transcript is spliced from 3 exons.
CUUCACUGAAUGCUCUAUUUCCUUCGACAACCCUCAGCUGAGCUCCCAUCCCUCCACCACUCCGGAGAGCCAGGAAUGCUGCCGGGACAUCAAGGUGCUGGGACGCAAGGAGCUCCGGCUUCUGCUGUCCUGGAGGGGGAAGCUACGCAGGUUCCUGGCCAAAAAACUGAAGGACGAG